Molecule: ribosomal RNA, 668 nt
Filed under: uncultured bacterium
Lineage: Bacteria
Description: bacterial SSU rRNA
Rfam family: Bacterial small subunit ribosomal RNA
Source: RNAcentral
AUCGAAAUAUUUAUAUUUUGAAGCGGUUAGUGGCGGACUGGUGAGUAACGCGUAAGGAACCUGCCUAUUAGAGGGGAAUAACAGUGAGAAAUCAUUGCUAAUACCGCAUAUGCCAUAGAUAUCACAUGAUAACAGUGGGAAAGGAGCAAUCCGCUAAUAGAUGGCCUUGCGUCUGAUUAGAUAGUUGGUGGGGUAACGGCCUACCAAGUCGACGAUCAGUAGCCGGACUGAGAGGUUGAACGGCCACAUUGGGACUGAGAUACGGCCCAGACUCCUACGGGAGGCAACAGUCGGGAAUAUUGCGCAAUGGAGGAAACUCUGACGCAGUGACGCCGCGUAUAGGAAGAAGGUUUUCGGAUUGUAAACUAUUGUCGUUAGGGAAGAGAAAGGACAGCACCUAAGGAGGAAGCUCCGGCUAACUACGUGCCAGCAGCCGCGGUAAUACGUAGGGAGCGAGCGUUAUCCGGAAUUAUUGGGUGUAAAGGGUGCGUAGACGGGAGAACAAGUUAGUUGUGAAAUACCUCGGCUCAACUGAGGAACUGCAACUAAAACUGUACUUCUUGAGUGCAGGAGAGGUAAGUGGAAUUCCUAGUGUAGCGGUGAAAUGCGUAGAUAUUAGGAGGAACACCAGUGGCGAAGGCGACUUACUGGACUGUAACUGACGUUGA